This 253-nucleotide ribosomal RNA is filed under the name uncultured bacterium. Its description in RNAcentral is "partial 16S ribosomal RNA". It matches the Rfam family "Bacterial small subunit ribosomal RNA", at positions 524 to 776 of the family's 1533-position model. The record is from RNAcentral.
UACAUGUGGGGCAAGCGUUGUUCGGAAUUACUGGGCAUAAAGGGUGCGUAGGCGGUUUGUUAAGUCACAGGUGAAAGUUUUCGGCCCAACCGGAAAAUUGCCUGCGAUACUGGCGAACUUGAGUGCGUGAGGGGUUGGGGGAACGAGCAGUGUAGCGGUGAAAUGCGUAGAGAUUUGGAGGAACACCGAUGGCGAAGGCAGCCCCCUGGGAUAAAACUGACGCUCAGGCACGAAAGCGUGGGUAGCAAACAGG